AGUGAGCCGACCCGCGGCCGGCCGCGCGCCGCUGAGCCUCAGGGGUCGGGGGCACGGCCGGGGCAUCCACCUUGCCCCCACUUGGGACUCUUCCCAGGCCUUUGUGCCCCGGAUCCGCCAGGACGCAGCGUCAGGGAUGCCCCUCAGGGGUGGGGGACACCAAGGGCGGGGACGCCUGCGAGGUGAAGGGCUGGAUGCACAGUGGGAGCCGGAGGCGGGGGGCUGCAGGGAGCACACCAGCGACCGGCCCUCCAACCCUCCAGCCACUCAGCAACAUCGCCACAGCAACCAGCAACCAGACGGCAGCAGCCGAGGCAAACACAAGCGGACGGCUUCCCACCGUCGCCGAGGACAGGGAAUGACUACGGCAAAUCAGGCCACUUUGCCAACUAGGGAGGUGGAGUGUCACUAGUGGGGAGGGGCGGCCACCGCCCGCUGCACAGAGCGCCAUGCCGGCUGGAGAAGAGGCGCUGGGGCAGGGGCUGCAGUGUGGCUCGGCCUCACCCCCCUGCUGGCACUGAGUGCCUCCAGGGCAGCUGGGCUCUUGUCUGCCUGGUCUCAGUGUCCCCUGUGGCAAGAGGGAGAGGUGCCCCAUCCCGUGCUCCUUGUCUGGGCCCGCUGCUGCCAGACCAUGGGAUGUCGGCAAAGCUCA
This 652-nucleotide small RNA is filed under the name Pan troglodytes (chimpanzee). Its description in RNAcentral is "processed transcript". The record is from RNAcentral. Lineage: Eukaryota; Metazoa; Chordata; Mammalia; Primates; Hominidae.